UCAGGACGAACGCUGGCGGCGUGCCUAACACAUGCAAGUCGAACGGACGACGGGGAGCUGCUCCCCAAGUAGUGGCGGACGGGUGAGUAACACGUGAGCAACCUGCCCUUCGGAGGGGGACGAACAGCGGGAAACUGCUGCUAAUACCGCAUAAUGUAUCCUGGAGGCAUCUCCGGGAUACCAAAGAUUUUAUCGCCGAAGGAUGGGCUCGCGUCUGAUUAGAUAGUUGGUGGGGCAACGGCCCACCAAGUCUGCGAUCAGUAGCCGGACUGAGAGGUUGAACGGCCACAUUGGGACUGAGAUACGGCCCAGACUCCUACGGGAGGCAGCAGUGGGGAAUAUUGGGCAAAUGGGGGCAACCCUGACCCAGCAACGCCGCGUGGAGGAAGAAGGCUUUCGGGUUGUAAACUCCUUUGACGAGGGACGAUGAUGACGGUACCUCGAAAACAAGCCACGGCUAACUACGUGCCAGCCGCGGC
Molecule: ribosomal RNA, 479 nt
Filed under: uncultured bacterium
Lineage: Bacteria
Description: bacterial SSU rRNA
Rfam family: Bacterial small subunit ribosomal RNA
Source: RNAcentral